Long non-coding RNA from Homo sapiens (human), 753 nucleotides. RefSeq lists it as uncharacterized. The transcript is spliced from 2 exons. The record is from RefSeq and is a predicted model, not a curated record. Lineage: Eukaryota; Metazoa; Chordata; Mammalia; Primates; Hominidae.
AGGGCGCCCUCGGCCCCCUCCCGGGAGCUGGGCGGUGAGGCCUGCAGAGCAGGACCUGCCAGCUGAGCGCCCCUACCCUCGCCCCUGCCCGCCCCCGCGCCUCGCCCCUCCCGCCGGGCUCGGAUCUGCCCCGCCUGCCCCUGACUCGACUGAGGCCCUUUGCAAACCACAGAAGUUCUCUAAAUGUCUGCGGUGGCAUCAUUGGACCAGCUACGUCUUGGACUUUAUUGGAAGCUGCCAAAUUGCUUUCCAAACACCUGGAGCAACUGACCUCUCACCCUUCAGUGUGCCUGGGUUUGUGGUUCUCUAUUUCCUGGCCAGCACUGGUGUCCUCAAACUUCUGAUUUUCUUUCCAUUUAUUUUACUUUGUUCAUCUAAAUGGGUAUGAAAUAAUAUCUCUGGGCUGUUUCAUGUCCAUGGAAAUUUCUCUGUUGUAAAUGUGUGGGCCAAAGGAACUGCACCUUGUCCUCAAGAGAUUCGGGUCGAAACCUUGGCUCCGGGGCCCACCAGCAGUAUGGCUUUGGGCAGUCACCUAAUGUCCCUGAGCUCAGUUUUCUCAUCUGUAAAAUGGAGAUGGCAGAGUUCCCAUAGGGUUACCGUGGGAAUUCAAAAGCUAGGCGCCCAGCACUCAGUAAGCGCUCGGGAAGUGGGAAGUAAUGUUAUUGGAAGCCAGCCCCCCAGGGAGGGUCAUGGAUUCCUGCAUGGAGACACCCAGCCCUCUGCCUGUUGAAAUAAACAUUGCCACCACUCGUA